This 834-nucleotide ribosomal RNA is filed under the name uncultured bacterium. Its description in RNAcentral is "bacterial SSU rRNA". It matches the Rfam family "Bacterial small subunit ribosomal RNA", at positions 35 to 889 of the family's 1533-position model. The record is from RNAcentral.
GCUGGCGGCGUGCUUAACACAUGCAAGUCGAACGAUGAAGCCUAGCUUGCUAGGUGGAUUAGUGGCGCACGGGUGAGUAAUAUAUAGAUAACGUGCCUCUUAGUCUGGGAUAGCCAUUGGAAACGAUGAUUAAUACUAGAUACUCCUUCUCUAUCAAAUUAGAGUCGGGAAAGUUUUUCGCUAAGAGAUCGGUCUAUAUCCCAUCAGCUAGUUGGUAGUGUAAGAGACUACCAAGGCAAUGACGGGUAGCGGGUUUGAGAGGAUGAUCCGCCACACUGGUACUGAGACACGGACCAGACUCCUACGGGAGGCAGCAGUGAGGAAUAUUGCACAAUGGAGGAAACUCUGAUGCAGCAACGCCGCGUGGAGGAUGACGCAUUUCGGUGUGUAAACUCCUUUUAUAUGUCAAGAAAAUGACGGUAGCAUAUGAAUAAGCACCGGCUAACUCCGUGCCAGCAGCCGCGGUAAUACGGAGGGUGCAAGCGUUAUUCGGAAUCACUGGGCGUAAAGGACGCGUAGGCGGGAUGCCAAGUCUGAUGUGAAAUCCUAUGGCUUAACCAUAGAACUGCAUUGGAAACUGGUAACCUAGAGUAUGGGAGGGGGAGAUGGAAUUAGUGGUGUAGGGGUAAAAUCCGUAGAUAUCACUAGGAAUACCGAAAGCGAAGGCGAUCUCCUGGAACAAUACUGACGCUAAGGCGUGAAAGCGUGGGGAGCAAACGGGAUUAGAUACCCCGGUAGUCCACGCCCUAAACGAUGUUCACUAGUCGUCGGGAUGCUAGUCAUCUCGGUGAUGCACUUAACAGAUUAAGUGAACCGCCUGGGGAGUACGGUCGC